Molecule: ribosomal RNA, 442 nt
Filed under: uncultured bacterium
Lineage: Bacteria
Description: partial 16S ribosomal RNA
Rfam family: Bacterial small subunit ribosomal RNA
Source: RNAcentral
CCUACGGGUGGCAGCAGUGGGGAAUAUUGGGCAAUGGGCGCAAGCCUGACCCAGCAACGCCGCGUGAAGGAAGAAUGCUUUCCGGUUGUAAACUUCUUUUGACAGGGAAGAGUAGAAGACGGUACCUGUCGAAUAAGCCACGGCUAACUACGUGCCAGCAGCCGCUGUAAUACGUAGGUGGCAAGCGUUGUCCGGAUUUACUGGGUGUAAAGGGCGUGUAGCCGGGUUGACAAGUCAGAUGUGAAAUCCUGCGGCUUAACCGCAGAACUGCAUUUGAAACUGUUGAUCUUGAGUACUGGAGAGGCAGACGGAAUUCGUGGUGUAGCGGUGAAAUGCGUAGAUAUUAGGAGGAACACCAGUGGCGAAGGCAGUCUGCUAGACAGCAACUGACGGUGAGGCGCGAAAGCGUGGGGAGCAAACAGGAUUAGAUACCCCAGUAGUC